RNAcentral lists this ribosomal RNA (324 nucleotides) under uncultured eukaryote. RNAcentral's name for it is "partial 18S ribosomal RNA". It matches the Rfam family "Eukaryotic small subunit ribosomal RNA", at positions 1470 to 1796 of the family's 1831-position model. The record is from RNAcentral.
CCCUUAGAUGUUCUGGGCCGCACGCGCGCUACACUGAUGCUUUCAACGAGUUUUUCCCUUGAUAGAGAUGUCUGGGUAAUCUUUUGAAUGAGCAUCGUGCUAGGGAUAGUUUAUUGCAAUUAUUAAACUUGAACGAGGAAUUCCUAGUAAACGCAAGUCAUCAGCUUGCAUUGAUUACGUCCCUGCCCUUUGUACACACCGCCCGUCGCACCUACCGAUUGAAUGUUUCGGUGAAGAUUCCGGAUAGGACUGAUUUGAUUUAUUUCAUUUCUGACCUAAAAGCUAUCUAAACCUCAACAUUUAGAGGAAGGUGAAGUCGUAACA